UACGUAGGUGGCAAGCGUUGUCCGGAUUUAUUGGGUUUAAAGGGUGCGUAGGCGGCCCGUUAAGUCAGUGGUGAAAGCCUCCAGCUCAACUGGAGAACUGCCAUUGAUACUGGCGGGCUUGAGUACAGACGAGGUUGGCGGAAUUGAUUGUGUAGCGGUGAAAUGCAUAGAUACAAUCAAGAACACCGAUUGCGUAGGCAGCUAACUAGGCUGUAACUGACGCUGUGGCACGAAAGCGUGGGGAGCGAACAGG
RNAcentral lists this ribosomal RNA (253 nucleotides) under uncultured bacterium. RNAcentral's name for it is "partial 16S ribosomal RNA". It matches the Rfam family "Bacterial small subunit ribosomal RNA", at positions 524 to 776 of the family's 1533-position model. The record is from RNAcentral.